UACGGGGGGGGCAAGCGUUGUUCGGAAUUACCGGGCGUAAAGGGCGCGUAGGCGGUCAGAAAAGUCAGAUGUGAAAUUCCGGGGCUCAACCCCGGAGCUGCAUUUGAAACUUUCCGACUUGAGGUUGACAAGGGAAAGCGGAAUUCCACGUGUAGCGGUGAAAUGCGUAGAUAUGUGGAAGAACACCGGUGGUGAAGACGGUUGUCUGUGUCAAACCUGACGCUGAGGCGCGAAAGCUAGGGGAGCAAACAGG
Molecule: ribosomal RNA, 253 nt
Filed under: uncultured bacterium
Lineage: Bacteria
Description: partial 16S ribosomal RNA
Rfam family: Bacterial small subunit ribosomal RNA
Source: RNAcentral